RNAcentral lists this ribosomal RNA (372 nucleotides) under Triticum aestivum (bread wheat). Its description in RNAcentral is "partial small subunit ribosomal RNA". The record is from RNAcentral. Lineage: Eukaryota; Viridiplantae; Streptophyta; Magnoliopsida; Poales; Poaceae.
AUGAAAUCUGCGUAUCACUUGGGGAUCAGGUUGAGGGGGGAAAUUCACCACAGAGAUACUAGUUCAUCUAUGUCGGUGCCAAUUGUCUCGCAGAGAUGGAAUAGAUUCUGGAGCCUGAACCUUCCACCUAAAGUUAGAAUGUUCCUUUGGCGGCUAGCAAAAACUUCUCUUCCACUGCGUAUGAACAUAAAGAGGAAACAUGUUGAUCUUGACACAAAAUGCCCUGUGUGCAUGAGACUAGAUGAGGAUGGUGGCCACCUGUUCCUAAAAUGCAAGAAGGUCAAGCAAGUUUGGAGAGAAUUACAGCUUGAGGAUGUCAGACUUGCCUUGCUUGAUUGUACUAAUCCGAUGGCAAUGUUUGAUCAAAUCUAG